RNAcentral lists this ribosomal RNA (453 nucleotides) under uncultured bacterium. RNAcentral's name for it is "bacterial SSU rRNA". It matches the Rfam family "Bacterial small subunit ribosomal RNA", at positions 340 to 786 of the family's 1533-position model. The record is from RNAcentral.
UACGGAAGGCAGCAGUGGGGAAUAUUGCACAAUGGGCGCAAGCCUGAUGCAGCCAUGCCGCGUGUAUGAAGAAGGCCUUCGGGUUGUAAAGUACUUUCAGUCGUGAGGAAGGUGUUAAGGUUAAUAACCUUAGCAAUUGACGUUAGCGACAGAAGAAGCACCGGCUAACUCCGUGCCAGCAGCCGCGGUAAUACGGAGGGUGCGAGCGUUAAUCGGAAUUACUGGGCGUAAAGGGCACGCAGGCGGUUAAUUAAGUUGGAUGUGAAAUCCCCGGGCUUAACCUGGGAAUGGCAUUCAAGACUGGUUAGCUAGAGUCUUGUAGAGGGGGUAGAAUUCCAUGUGUAGCGGUGAAAUGCGUAGAGAUGUGGAGGAAUACCGGUGGCGAAGGCGGCCCCUGGCAAAGGACUGACGCUCAUGUGCGAAAGCGUGGGGAGCAAACGAGGAUUAGAUACC